RNAcentral lists this ribosomal RNA (914 nucleotides) under uncultured marine archaeon. Its description in RNAcentral is "bacterial SSU rRNA". It matches the Rfam family "Archaeal small subunit ribosomal RNA", at positions 1 to 922 of the family's 1478-position model. The record is from RNAcentral.
UUCCGGUUGAUCCUGCCGGACCUGACUGCUAUCGGAUUGAUACUAAGCCAUGCGAGUCAUUGUAGCAAUACAAGGCAUACGGCUCAGUAACGCGUAGUCAACCUAACCUAUGGACGGGAAUAACCUCGGGAAACUGAGAAUAAUGCCCGAUAGAACAUUAUACCUGGAAUGGUUUAUGUUCCAAAUGAUUUAUCGCCAUAGGAUGGGACUGCGGCCUAUCAGUUUGUUGGUGAGGUAAUGGCCCACCAAGACUAUUACAGGUACGGGCUCUGAGAGGAGUAGCCCGGAGAUGGGUACUGAGACACGGACCCAGGCCCUAUGGGGCGCAGCAGGCGAGAAAACUUUGCAAUGUGCGAAAGCACGACAAGGUUAAUCCGAGUGAUUUCUGCUAAAGAAAUCUUUUGUUAGUCCUAGAAACACUAACGAAUAAGGGGUGGGCAAGUUCUGGUGUCAGCCGCCGCGGUAAAACCAGCACCUCAAGUGGUCAGGAUGAUUAUUGGGCCUAAAGCAUCCGUAGCCGGCUCUGUAAGUUUUCGGUUAAAUCUGUACGCUCAACGUACAGGCUGCCGGGAAUACUGCAGAACUAGGGAGUGGGAGAGGUAGACGGUACUCGGUAGGAAGUGGUAAAAUGCUUUGAUCUAUCGAUGACCACCUGUGGCGAAGGCGGUCUACCAGAACACGUCCGACGGUGAGGGAUGAAAGCUGGGGGAGCAAACCGGAUUAGAUACCCGGGUAGUCCCAGCUGUAAACUAUGCAAACUCAGUGAUGCAUUGGCUUGUGGCCAAUGCAGUGCUGCAGGGAAGCCGUUAAGUUUGCCGCCUGGGAAGUACGUACGCAAGUAUGAAACUUAAAGGAAUUGGCGGGGGAGCACCACAAGGGGUGAAGCCUGCGGUUCAAUUGGAUUCAACGCCGGG